This 460-nucleotide ribosomal RNA is filed under the name uncultured bacterium. RNAcentral describes it as "partial 16S ribosomal RNA". It matches the Rfam family "Bacterial small subunit ribosomal RNA", at positions 338 to 795 of the family's 1533-position model. The record is from RNAcentral.
CCUACGGGAGGCAGCAGUGAGGAAUAUUGGUCAAUGGGCGUAAGCCUGAACCAGCCAAGUCGCGUGAGGGAUGAAGGUUCUAUGGAUCGUAAACCUCUUUUAUAAGGGGAUAAAGUGCGGGACGUGUCCCGUUUUGUAUGUACCUUAUGAAUAAGGAUCGGCUAACUCCGUGCCAGCAGCCGCGGUAAUACGGAGGAUCCGAGGGUUAUCCGGAUUUAUUGGGUUUAAAGGGUGCGUAGGCGGCCUUAUAAGUCAGCGGUGAAAGUCUGUGGGUCAACCAUAGAUUUGCCGUUGAAACUGGGAGGCUGGAGUGUGUUUGAGGCAGGCGGAAUGCGUGGUGUAGCGGUGAAAUGCUUAGAUAUCACGCAGAACCCCGAUUGCGAAGGCAGCUUGCCAAGCCAUGACUGACGCUGAGGCACGAAAGCGUGGGGAUCAAACAGGAUUAGAUACCCUGGUAGUC